Molecule: ribosomal RNA, 497 nt
Filed under: uncultured bacterium
Lineage: Bacteria
Description: partial 16S ribosomal RNA
Rfam family: Bacterial small subunit ribosomal RNA
Source: RNAcentral
GAUGAACGCUGGCGGGGUGCCCAAUACAUGCAAGCCGCGCGAAAGUACGUGUAGUUUGUUUUUCUGAUAUUCGGGGCGGUCGCGUGUGUAACACGUGGAUCACCUGCUUAUAAGACUGGGAUAACUUCGGGACACCGGCGCUCGUAGUGGCUAAUUUUCAGAACCGCAUGGUUCCACUGUAUAAGCCGGUUUUGCCGUGCCUUAUUGCUGGAUCCGCGCUGCAUUCGGCAGUUGGUAAGGUAACGGCUGACCAUGGCUACGCUGCCUAGCCGACCUGAGAGGGUGAUCGGCCACACUGGAACUGAGACACUGUCCAGACUCCUACGGGAGGCAGCAGUAGGGAAUCUUCCGCAAUGGGCGAAAGCCUGACGGAGCAACGCCGCGUGAGUGAUGAAGGUCUGCGGAUCGGAAAACUCUGUUAUUGGGGAAGAACAGAUUUGGAAGUAGCUGGGCUCAUCGUGACGGUGCCUAGUCAGAGAGCCACGGCGAACUUCGGG